Molecule: ribosomal RNA, 252 nt
Filed under: uncultured bacterium
Lineage: Bacteria
Description: partial 16S ribosomal RNA
Rfam family: Bacterial small subunit ribosomal RNA
Source: RNAcentral
UACGUAGGUCCCGAGCGUUGUCCGGAUUUAUUGGGCGUAAAGCGAGCGCAGGUGGUUUAUUAAGUCUGGUGUAGAAGGCAGUGGCUCAACCAUUGUAUGCAUUGGAAACUGGUAGACUUGAGUGCAGGAGAGGUGAGUGGAGUUCCAUGUGUAGCGGUGAAAUGCGUAGAUAUAUGGAGGAACACCGGUGGCGAAAGCGGCUCUCUGGCCUGUAACUGACACUGAGGCUCGAAAGCGUAGGGAGCAAACAGG